GAUGAACGCUGGCGGCGUGCCUAAUACAUGCAAGUCGAGCGAACAGACGAGGAGCUUGCUCCUCUGACGUUAGCGACGGACGGGUGAGUAACACGUGGAUAACCUACCUAUAAGACUGGGAUAACUUCGGGAAACCGGAGCUAAUACCGGAUAAUAUAUUGAACCGCAUGGUUCAAUAGUGAAAGACGGUUUUGCUGUCACUUAUAGAUGGAUCCGCGCCGCAUUAGCUAGUUGGUAAGGUAACGGCUUACCAAGGCAACGAUGCGUAGCCGACCUGAGAGGGUGAUCGGCCACACUGGAACUGAGACACGGUCCAGACUCCUACGGGAGGCAGCAGUAGGGAAUCUUCCGCAAUGGGCGAAAGCUUGACGGAGCAACGCCGCGUGAGUGAUGAAGGUCUUCGGAUCGUAAAACUCUGUUAUUAGGGAAGAACAAAUGUGUAAGUAACUAUGCACGUCUUGACGGAACCUAAUCAGAAAGCCACGGCUAACUACGUG
RNAcentral lists this ribosomal RNA (497 nucleotides) under uncultured bacterium. RNAcentral describes it as "partial 16S ribosomal RNA". It matches the Rfam family "Bacterial small subunit ribosomal RNA", at positions 28 to 507 of the family's 1533-position model. The record is from RNAcentral.